AGUAGUCAAAAGGUCAUAUUUGAAAGGACUUUCUAAUUAUGCCAUCACAAUACUGGCUGCAAGACUGUGAGGUUUUAUUCCAUAGCUACAACUCUGGGUAUGUGCUUUUCCUUGCAUUAAAGGCCAGAGCAACAGGCAGCCCACAGGAACUACAGCAUGCUAUUGACACGUUUAUUUGUGGGUCUGUUCUGCUCUCAUUCACGAAGUUGAUCAGAGGAAUGAAGCACCUCCCCUAUGAAGACAGGCUGAGGGAGUUGUGCAUGGUCAGUGGGACCCCAUUACUUAAACGGGGCUUAUAAAAAAGAUAGAGAGCAACUUUUUGAUUGGGCAGAUAAUGAUAGGACAUGGGGGAAUGGUUUUAAACUAAAAGAGGGUAGGUUUAGAUUAGGUGUUAGGAGGACAUUCUUUACUCAGAGGGUGGUGAGGCCCUGGCACAGGCUGCCCAGAGAAGCUGUGGAUGCCCCAUCCCUUGAGGUGCUCAGGGCCAGGCUGGAUGGGGCUUUGAGCAAACUUGAUCUAGUGGGUGGCGUCCCUGCCCAUGGCAGGGGGGGUGGAACUAGAAGGGGGGUUGGAACUUCCAACCAAAGCCAUUCUACGAUUUUAUGAUUCUAGGAAAAUUGUCCACUGUGCAAUGUCUUCCUUCUGCAAGUUUCAUGAGCAUUCCUUCUCAAUCUCCUACCCAAAUAAUGAACCCAACCAUGGCUUUCUUGGAAAACCCAGCUCCACACCACUUGCCUGUGAGUGAUUACAAAGGUCCUCUGCUAUGCCUUUUCUUGCAGUAACCUCACCCACUUGUAGGCAAUAUGGCCUUUUCUCUGUCCUGAUAACUUUGUCUCUCCAGACUGCUUGUCUCCCACUACGUAAUCCCCUGGACCCCUCUAGCUCUGACAUUUCAGCCUGCUUAGCCUUCUGUUGUAAUCAGUGUGACCAGAACUUAAUUCGUGAACAUUUUUUUUGAAAUUUUCCUGCUCUACCACCCCCACUGGCAACACCGAGAGGUUCUUCGUGAUAUACCGCACACUUUUAGAGACACUGACUCUUCAGAAAUAGAUGAUAAACCUGUCUUUCACCUCUUUCAAAUAAACAUUGAGUUUCAUUUUAAAACUGACUUCUC
RNAcentral lists this long non-coding RNA (1114 nucleotides) under Anser brachyrhynchus (Pink-footed goose). RNAcentral describes it as "lncRNA (ENSABRG00000000186.1)". Lineage: Eukaryota; Metazoa; Chordata; Aves; Anseriformes; Anatidae. The record is from RNAcentral.